Molecule: ribosomal RNA, 839 nt
Filed under: uncultured bacterium
Lineage: Bacteria
Description: bacterial SSU rRNA
Rfam family: Bacterial small subunit ribosomal RNA
Source: RNAcentral
AGAGUUUGAUCCUGGCUCAGGAUGAACGCUGGCGAGAUGCUUUACACAUGCAAGUCAUACGAGAGUUUUUAACUCAAGUGGCGGACGGGUGAGUAACACGUAAGAAUUUGCCUUUAGGAGGGGGAUAACAAACCGAAAGGAUUGCUAAUACCCCAUAUGCUUUCGAGUGAAAUGGAUUUUUUCCGCCUAGAGAGAAGCUUGCGUCUGAUUAGCUUGUUGGUAAGGUAAUGGCUUACCAAGGCGACGAUCAGUAUCUGGUUUGAGAGGAUGAUCAGACACACUGGAACUGAGACACGGUCCAGACUCCUGCGGGAGGCAGCAGUGGGGAAUUUUCCGCAAUGGGCGAAAGCCUGACGAAGCAAUCUCGCGUGAGGGAUGACGGCCUAUGGGUUGUAAACCUCUUUUUUCAGGGAGGAAUAAAAUGACGUGUACCUGAAGAAUAAGCAUCGGCUAACUCCGUGCCAGCAGCCGCGGUAAGACGGAGGAUGCAAGUGUUAUCCGGAAUCACUGGGCGUAAAGCGUCUGUAGGUGGUUUAGUAAGUCAACUGUUAAAUCUUGAAGCUUAACUUCAAAAUCGCAGUCGAAACUACUAGACUAGAGUAUAGUAGGGGUAAAGGGAAUUUCCAGUGGAGCGGUGAAAUGCGUAGAGAUUGGAAAGAACACCGAUGGCGAAGGCACUUUACUGGGCUAUUACUGACACUCAGAGACGAAAGCUAGGGUAGCAAAUGGGAUUAGAUACCCCAGUAGUCCUAGCCGUAAACAAUGGAUACUAGAUGUUGAACAGAUCGACCUGUGCAGUAUUAAAGCUAACGCGUUAAGUAUCCCGCCUGGGAAGUAUG